AUACGGAGGGUGCAAGCGUUAAUCGGAAUUACUGGGCGUAAAGCGUACGUAGGCGGUUCGUUAAGUUAGAUGUGAAAGCCCCGGGCUUAACCUGGGAACUGCAUUUAAAACUGGCGGACUAGAGUUGAGUAGAGGGGAGUGGAAUUUCAGGUGUAGCGGUGAAAUGCGUAGAGAUCUGAAGGAACAUCAGUGGCGAAGGCGACUCCCUGGACUCGAACUGACGCUGAGGUACGAAAGCGUGGGUAGCAAACGGGAUUAGAAACCCUAGUAGUCC
Molecule: ribosomal RNA, 274 nt
Filed under: uncultured bacterium
Lineage: Bacteria
Description: partial 16S ribosomal RNA
Rfam family: Bacterial small subunit ribosomal RNA
Source: RNAcentral